Molecule: long non-coding RNA, 456 nt
Organism: Rhagoletis zephyria (snowberry fruit fly)
Lineage: Eukaryota; Metazoa; Arthropoda; Insecta; Diptera; Tephritidae
Source: RefSeq, a predicted model, not a curated record
UUUCUUUUCGAACAUGUGUUUUUAUUAAACCAAAAAACAAAUACCUCAGCUAUACUUUAGAAAAAUAAUAAACGCAUAAACCCUGUGUACCAGAACAUAAAGUUCAAACCUUCUUUAAUUUCUGUAAUAUAUACAGACAUAAUGCAAUCUAACAUUUCAAAAAAUCACUACACGAGCCCCGGACCAGGUAGAAGGAGGUUGUCGCUCCGGGGGGUAAUAAACAAUAAAAUUUUCAAUAUUGAAGGAUCUUUUUCAUACAACGCCGAGUCAGUGCCUGCAACGGAGAGGUUACUUCGAUACGGUUGAAUGACCCCUCGCAUCACUGAUUUCAGUUCCUGCGACUUUUUAAGGUUUUUAAACACGCCCUCGAGUCCUGAAGGAAAUUCUCCUGAAUCCUGGAGGAAAUGCUCCUCUAAGUUGGCAAGUGUUGCAGAGAUUAAGGAACUUUAAAAGCGC